This 294-nucleotide small RNA is filed under the name Pongo abelii (Sumatran orangutan). RNAcentral describes it as "retained intron". Lineage: Eukaryota; Metazoa; Chordata; Mammalia; Primates; Hominidae. The record is from RNAcentral.
GCCCAGCCCCAGCCAGAGCCGCAGCCGCAGCCGCAGCCGGAGCCACAGCCAGAGCCCCUCGCCAUCACCCGCAAGAGAGAAGCUGACCAGGCCGGCCGCGUCCCCUGCUGUGGGCGAGAAGCUGAAAAAGACCGAACCUGCCGCUGGUAAAGAGACAGGAGCUGCCAAAGUCAGUAAGAAUUUGGAACUCGCCCGUCUAAUUCCCGUCAGCAGCAGUGCCCAGAGCUGGGCCCGGUGGGCCUGCAGGGGGGCCCGGGUGGGCUGGGAGAUCCAGCCCCAGGGACUGGGAGGGGA